Molecule: long non-coding RNA, 1717 nt
Filed under: Sus scrofa (pig)
Lineage: Eukaryota; Metazoa; Chordata; Mammalia; Artiodactyla; Suidae
Description: lncRNA (ENSSSCG00025060858.1)
Source: RNAcentral
GUCCUCAGACUCUGUGUGGAUUUGUGAGGCUUUUGUGACGGGCUUGUCCCUUCUGUCAGGUCCCUCGAGGAGCAGUCUCUGUCUGAUUUACCCUUGUACCUUCUCUCUUCACCAGCAUAGUACCACCGCUGGUCCUGCUUUGCGGAUGAUGCAUCUGGGGGAGUUGGCAACAUGAAAGCAGCUGGCUGGUAAGUGCCCUUCUAACAUGGUCUUGCAGCUCAGGUGAGAGUUUCUGGUGCUGCAGGAAGCACCUGGCUCCCGCUGGCAGAGCCCGAGGCACCAGGUUUGGCCCCAGCUCCCCAGGGAAGGAAAUUUUUCCUCUUCCUCCAAGUACUUGGAACAGUAUUCUCUGCAAAUCCUGAGAAUGUCUCAGGCCGCCUUUCCCAUCACCUCAGCUUGUUUCAGCGCUGCGAGGACUCUGUCCUGCUUCCAGCUGGAACUAAACGGAGGGACCCACAGCCCUAGGUCCCUGACCUCUGCUACCCAGGGGCCUCCUGGGGCUCCCCCGGGGUCCCCAUCCUCAGCACCCUCUCUGCAAUUUGUGGUCCUUUGUGUGUCUGACGGCUGCCUUGAAACCUCUGUGUUGUCUGAUGGUUUGCAACCCCUGUGUGUCUGAUGCCUUGCAAGCCCUGCUGCAGAUGCCAUGGAACCCACUGGACGUGGGGCCACAGCCAGAGAGGAAAAACUGAGGCUCUGAGCCCAGCUGAUCCCAGCUGGGUUCCUGCCUGCGACAUUUACUGGCUGUGUGACCCUGACCUUGAGUCAUGACUUACCCUCCUUGAACCUAUUUCCUGUUUAGUAAAAGAGGGUGAUUCCUAAGCCAUCACCCUCCUCACAGGGUAGAGAGAGGGCUGGGACCAGAGGUGUACAUAAUGUGCUCAGCAGGGUUCCACAGAAGGUUCUGGAAGGGAGGCAACACUUGGAAGAAGGGAAUGGUCCAGUGUGAGCUGCCCACUGCUGGUCCGACUUCCAGUCAAAGGCAGGCCUGGUCUGCGCCAUUCUGGCAGGUGAAUCUCCGACGGGUGAUUUUCUUCUUCACUGGCUUGAAGAGCUGGAGGUCAAAGUUCAGGGUGAGAGUCCCGAGAGGGAGGGUCCUCGGGGGGGACCUGCCUUCAGGGUGAAGCUCCACCUGCCUCUCUGCUCACCCUGGUGUGUAGGCUCCAAGCAGCCAGCGAGGAUCAUGAGCUGGGCUAGAAUUGCUCCUGAUGGGGAAACAGGGUUUUUGCCAAACUGAGUGAUCUUCCUGCUGAAACAAACACACCAGCAAACGUUAUUAGCGCUCCUCUCCGAAAAUAAUUGACUUCAUUGCACUGUGGUCACCAGGUCGACAGAGAAUCCCCAAUCACUCACGGUAUCGAGAACCAAGAAAAUGACAACAACAGAAGGCAGUGUGGACAUGACACAAAUAUUGGAACCAGGGGACAAGCAUUUUAAGGGAAGUGUGGUAACUAUACCCUGUAAGGUAAAGGAGAACAUGUUCACGGCACAAGAGAGAGGGAAAACUUUGGUAGAGAAAGGGAAGCUAAAUAAAACGAACACUGAAGAACUAAAAACUACAAUGUCUGAAAUAGGGCGCUUGUCAUAAUGGAAGGCACUCAAUGAAGGGGUUAGAUAUUAAAGCAACGUAGAAUGAAAGACACCUUCAGUUUUAUCAGAACUGAACCACAGUGGAAUAUCGUGUAUUUGCAGACAAAAAUAAAAGCUAUCCUGACAGUGA